RNAcentral lists this transfer RNA (85 nucleotides) under Bacteroidota bacterium. Its description in RNAcentral is "Bacteroidetes bacterium tRNA-Ser". It matches the Rfam family "tRNA". From Rfam's summary of the family: Transfer RNA (tRNA) molecules are approximately 80 nucleotides in length. Their secondary structure includes four short double-helical elements and three loops (D, anti-codon, and T loops). Lineage: Bacteria; Pseudomonadati; Bacteroidota. The record is from RNAcentral.
GGAGAGAUGCCGGAGUGGUCGAACGGGGCGGUCCCGAAAACCGUUGAGGGUCACACCUCCGAGGGUUCGAAUCCCUCUCUCUCCG